CCUACGGGUGGCAGCAGUGAGGAAUAUUGGUCAAUGGGCGCGAGCCUGAACCAGCCAAGUAGCGUGAAGGAUGACUGCCCUACGGGUUGUAAACUUCUUUUAUAAAGGAAUAAAGUGCGGCACGUGUGCCUUUUUGUAUGUACUUUAUGAUUCAGGAUCGGCUAACUCCGGGCCAGCAGCCGCGGUAAUACGGAGGAUCCGAGCGUUAUCCGGAUUUAUUGGGUUUAACGGGAGCGUAGAUGGGUUGUUAAGUCAGUUGUGAAAGUUUGCGGCUCAACCGUAAAAUUGCAAUUGAUACUGGAAGCCUUGAGUACAGUUGAGGUAGGCGGAAUUCGUGGUGUAGCGGUGAAAUGCUUAGAUAUCACGAAGAACUCCGAUUGCGAAGGCAGCUUACUAAACUGCCACUGACAUUGAUGCUCGAAAGUGUGGGUAUCAAACAGGAUUAGAUACCCGAGUAGUC
Molecule: ribosomal RNA, 460 nt
Filed under: uncultured bacterium
Lineage: Bacteria
Description: partial 16S ribosomal RNA
Rfam family: Bacterial small subunit ribosomal RNA
Source: RNAcentral